This 468-nucleotide ribosomal RNA is filed under the name uncultured Glomus. RNAcentral's name for it is "partial 18S ribosomal RNA". Lineage: Eukaryota; Fungi; Glomeromycota; Glomeromycetes; Glomerales; Glomeraceae. The record is from RNAcentral.
CGUAAGGCGCCGAAUGAGUCAUUAAAAAAAUUAACAUCAUCCGAUCCCUAGUCGGCAUAGUUUAUGGUUAAGACUACGACGGUAUCUGAUCGUCUUCGAUCCCCCUAACUUUCGUUCUUGAUUAAUGAAAACAUCCUUGGCAAAUGCUUUCGCAGUAGUUAGUCUUCAAUAAAUCCAAGAAUUUCACCUCUGACAAUUGAAUACUAAUGCCCCCAACUAUCCCUAUUAAUCAUUACAUCGAUCCUAGAAACCAACAAAAUAGAAUCGGAUGUCCUAUUUCAUUAUUCCAUGCUAAUGUAUUCAAGCGUGAGCCUGCUUUAAACACUCUAAUUUUUUCAAGGUAACAGUCCUAAUUCCCCGUAACACCAAAUUAAUGGCAUUACGGUUCUUUAGAAGGUGAGAAAUCAAUGAUAACAGUGCAUACCAACGGCAUGACCGAAAUAUUGAUCCCGAAAUUCAACUACGAGC